UCCUUAGACGUUCUGGGCCGCACGCGCGCUACACUGACGAAGGCAACGAGCUUUCCUUUACCGAAAGGUACGGGUAAUCUUUUGAAACUUCGUCGUGCUGGGGAUAGAUCCUUGCAAUUAUUGAUCUUAAACGAGGAAUUCCUAGUAAGCGCAAGUCAUCAACUUGCGUUGAUUACGUCCCUGCCCUUUGUACACACCGCCCGUCGCUACUACCGAUUGAAUGGUUUAGUGAGGCCUUCGGAUCCGCAACUCGUUUUGUGGAGAAGUUGGACAAACUCAGUCAUUUAGAGGAAGUAAAAGUCGUAACA
This 308-nucleotide ribosomal RNA is filed under the name uncultured eukaryote. Its description in RNAcentral is "partial 18S ribosomal RNA". It matches the Rfam family "Eukaryotic small subunit ribosomal RNA", at positions 1470 to 1796 of the family's 1831-position model. The record is from RNAcentral.